Molecule: long non-coding RNA, 259 nt
Filed under: Ananas comosus (pineapple)
Lineage: Eukaryota; Viridiplantae; Streptophyta; Magnoliopsida; Poales; Bromeliaceae
Description: long non-coding RNA (ACOM_LNC007201)
Source: RNAcentral
GCCGAACGCGAGUCAAACACGAGCCGACUCGCUCAUUUGCCAGCCCUACUUCUACGUUCUACAGUGAAACCGCAAAAAAUAUAUCGUAACCGACUUAUCGCGAUAUGAGGAAUGCAAUAUUAUGUAUGAAAACAAACAGAAUAUUUUUCCAACGUACUUUCUCACCGCACAUAAUGCAAGCUCCCUGCAAUCCCAAACGAAGCCUUAUCAAUGCUGCUUGAAAGGAUUAGUGUUAGUAUUUGUUUGGGUAUCAUUCUUU